CAACCAGUCAUAGUCAGGAUGGAACCCGGAUCUCUGGCGCUGAAAGACAGCAACUCUACCACUGCGAUGAGAAGAAGGAAAAAGAAGGAAUGCUACAAGCACAGAGCAGUUCACUGUCGAUGACCCAAAAUAUUAACAAUACAAAACAGGAAACUACAGUGGCUGAUAAUAACAGAAGAACGCUUAAUGGUUGAUGUUUUUCUCUCUUCCAACAGAAGCAUGAAUCCAAUUGAAAUAAACAGGUUGACACCUUCAUUAAAAUAAUACACGGGGAACUCUCUCUGAAAGCAUUAAGCCAUCUCGCAUUGUUAACACAAUCUCUCGCAUGUACAGCUGGUUUGACUUUGUCCAGAAGGUUUAUUUUGUAUUGAAAAUAAAUUCAUUACUCCUGCGAUCAUUAAACAGAA
Long non-coding RNA from Amblyraja radiata (thorny skate), 407 nucleotides. RefSeq lists it as uncharacterized. The transcript is spliced from 2 exons. The record is from RefSeq and is a predicted model, not a curated record. NCBI's taxonomy places the organism in Eukaryota, Metazoa, Chordata, Chondrichthyes, Rajiformes, Rajidae.